RNAcentral lists this ribosomal RNA (549 nucleotides) under Triticum aestivum (bread wheat). RNAcentral's name for it is "partial small subunit ribosomal RNA". Lineage: Eukaryota; Viridiplantae; Streptophyta; Magnoliopsida; Poales; Poaceae. The record is from RNAcentral.
AUGUUAUCAACUUUAGAGGGGGUUCAACCCGUGUUUAUCCCUGCUGUCUGGAAAUUGAGAGUUCCCCCUAAAAUUCAUGUAUUUCUCUGACUUCUCUCCAAAAACAAAUUGAUGACUAGGGAUAACCUUAGGAAGAGACAAAUCAUCAAACCUCUUGAUUGUGUUUACAGCUUGGAACAAGACUCUUGUUCUCACCUAUUUUUUGAAUGUAUAGUUGCUAAACAUCUCUGGGCCCACAUUGAGAAAUAUUUCUCUAGUCAGAUUGGCUCAUCCUUCGAAUCUGUCGCCAGAUUCUGGAUUGCUACCAAAAAGUGCUCAGUUUUAAACAUUGUUAGCUCAACUGUCCUUUGGUGCCUCUGGAAAUAUAGAAAUGCUAUGAUUUUCAGUAACACCUCCUGGAUUUCCAUUCUGCAGGUCUUAAGGUUGAUCAGGAACAUGGUGAGGAACUGGGCGAUUCUCUCCUCCGGAUCGGACAAGGACAAGUUGACGAGCUUCGUGGAAACCCUAACAAGAUCCCUCCAGAAACCGUUGGCGAUCACUUGUGGCUGA